This is a long non-coding RNA of Equus quagga, 4783 nucleotides long. RefSeq lists it as uncharacterized. The record is from RefSeq and is a predicted model, not a curated record. The transcript has 3 exons. Lineage: Eukaryota; Metazoa; Chordata; Mammalia; Perissodactyla; Equidae.
CACAAGGUAGAGAAUGGACUGGAGGUAGGAAGACUGGUUAGGACGCUGUUAACAGUAAUCCAGAUGCCCUGGACUAAGGAGAUGGUAAAGGGAGUGGAGAGAUGUAUUCUAUUCAAGAGCUGUUGGAGCAGCAGCAUCAGCAGGACUUAGAGAAUGAUAGGAUGUGGGGUUACGGGAGGAGACGAGUUAAGAAUGACAGACUCCCAGAUUUCAACAGUGGUUCAUCAAAUCUGUUGUACAUAAGAAUCAGUUGGGGAGCAUGUUAAAAGUGCGGGUUUCUGGGCAACCCCUAAGCUGUGGAUUCAGUAGAUCCAUGGUCAGAAACCGGAAUCUGCAAUAUCUAGUAGAGUAGACAAUACUACAACCCAGCUAUCUCACCGUUAGGUAUAUGUCUUAGAGAAUCGCUAGCACUCUGUGACUUACAUUUUUUUUAAAAAGGAAAUAUUUAAUAUAUAAAAAAAGUAUAAAGAAGAAUACAUUGACCCUUAGACACCCAGCCCCUGGUCUACGCCUGCCGGGCACUGUUGUUUCCAGCCAGCUACAGCUAAAGCUAAGUGAUGCUCAGGACGUCAAAGCUUCCUGUGGUCCUUCCAGCAUCAUAAAAAGAAUGCAUUUGAGAGCAGCCGGCAUUGAUAACAGCUUUGGUAAAUACGGUAUUGGCUGAGUCUGUUGUAUUUUCAAUUAAGAUUUUAGCUUUCACACAGCAGGGCUUUAAUAGAAGUCAUAAGCCUGUGAGUAGGUCGUUGAGAACGUUGAAUACCUUUUUUAAUGAACCAAAUAGCAGGACUUUUGCUGCCAUUCCAGGAUUUUUUUUUUUUUAAGUUUUCUUCUGUCUCUCGUCUUUCCGAUACAUAGCUGAAGAUAAUUCUUUUUCCUCGCAACACCGUGUUAUUCCCUCCACUCCAUUAAUUACUACCUUAGUUUUUUGGUCCCUUAUAAAGCUUUUUAAUCCUAGUAAUCCAAGAGAUAAACUAGUAGGUGGAAUUUUCUGUUCUUUAUAGUAGGCUGUGGUCAAAAUCACACACAUUGUUGACAGGAUACGAAGAAAUGAGACACAUAUCCCAAGGAGACUGGCCACGGCAAAAGGCGGUGUGAUUGCUCUCUGCCAAUACUUCAUGCUUCCCUCAAAAUGACCUCUCCAGGUUUUGGCAGCGGGCUCUGGAUAACAUCAUGUUUCUGUAAAUCAGCUCGGUUGUGCAGAUAUGAUUUAGCUAUUUAUCCCCCAGGACAACAGGAUGUUGGUUGAUUUAGAUUUGAUGUUUAGAGAGAAAUGAGGAGGCCAGCCCUACCCACUGCUUGCCUCCUUGUCGCGGGGUACAGGGACACGUUUGCCAGUACACCAAGAUGUGAGCUUCCUGGCUUCGGGUUGACAUUUACAAGGCAUCUCCCAUGAAAGAGAUGAGCAGGAGACGGCAUGGUCCAAACCAUGGCAAGGCCUUCAGGGCCUUGCAGAGGUAGAGGACGCCACAGAGGUUCUCAAGAAAAGCAGUGAGUUAAAUAGAUACCUCAGCAGAAUGGUGAAUAAAAUAGGGCAGAUAUGUACACAUAAAUGCAGUAAAUUCCCAUCUGUCCGGGUUUGUGACAUGCCACGUGGUUACUGCCUUUUCUCAAAACUUCUUUCAUCUAUUCAAUCAUCCAACAAACAGUCAUUGAAUGCUGACUGGGUGUGUUUUGAAAUUGAAAGCACUGAAAGCACUGGGGAUUAUGGUGAACUAGGUAUCUCCUCAUGUAGCUUACAGUCUGGAGUUUACAGCUUAGGUAAUAAACAAAAUUAUAGCCGCUGCCCAUUAAAAAUACCAAAUAAUUGGGGAAAGAGGGAGAGUUUUAACACAUCGAUGUUCUGGACAAUUGAGAAUUACCAUUUACACCUUAAAUGGCUUCUCCAGUUUCAGAUAAGUAGACAUACCUGUAAGUAGUCUACUUAUAAAUGAGUAAACCGAAAUCAUGGUUCUGUUCAUUCAGAAAAUGUUUGUUGAGGAGCAGCUGUGCUCUCAUUACUGUUUUAAAUAGUGGGUUAUAAAAGUGACAAAAUUCCUGUCCUUAAUGAGCUCAUCAUCUAAGUGAGAAGAUGAGAAAAUUAACAAAGAGCUUCCAUAUAGGUGAUCAAGGCUUUCAUGAAGGAUGAAAAAAAAUCUAGAAGAAGGGGGAUGGGGCAGGUAAUGCUGGUUGGAAGGAGGAUGGCAAUGAAGACUUUGAGCUGAGUCUUGAAGAAUGAGUAAGGCGAUGCCAGGCAGGCCAGGGGUUGGGGAGUUCACGUCAGAUGGAGGGAACAUCAUGUACAUUCCCAACUGAAAAUAGUGCCUUCAGGGUGCACAGAGAGUGCAUCUGGGCAGCAGCCAAAGAUAAGCCUAGAAAGGGAAACAGCCACGUCUUGAAGGGCUCUGUGUGCCCUGGCAGUGUAGCUGGACUUUAUCUGGCAGGCAUGGAAAGCCUCUACUGUGUUUUGAGCACGAUUGGAUUAAAUGAUUAGAUUUGCCUGUUGAGACUCAGGCUGAGGUAGUGUGCGCUUCCUAAGGUGUGGCUGAAGGUGUAAAGCCCAGAGGCGGGGAGGGAGCUCCAGGUAAGCAAUGAUGAUGCCGUGGCAGAAGGAUAAUAAUCCUCAGGUGUGCUUUGAGUUUGGUUCCAAAUCAAAGAGAGUUUAAUUGAAAAUGAAAGAAACAUAUCUAAAAAGAAGUCAUACGUUACAAUUGAAUCUGGUCUCCUCACUUAAAAACGAACAAAAACAACCUAGAAUCAUAUUACAAGAGAAAUAAAACUGCUUGUGCCUUUUGACCUGGUAAUUCUAUUAAGGGAUUCCCGAGAAAACAAUCUAGAGAAGAGAAAAAUAACUUUGUUCAAAGAGGUUUUUAACUAUACUACUCAAAUAGCCAACAGAUGAAAAUAAUCCAAAUGUCUGAAAAUAAGGGAUGUUGGCCAAGUGUCAUCUAUCAAGAUGACUGAAUACUACAUAAAUAUUAGAAUAACCAUAGCUAUCCAUGGGAACAUGUAUGGGGGAGAAGGGAAGACUCCAAAACAAUAUAUACACAGUGACCACUACUGUAAGUUCCUACUAUGUUGGCCCCACUGCUGGGUUUUGGGAACACAAAAAUAAGCCAGACACAGUCCCCGUCCUCUGAGAUCUCCUAGUCCACUGAGAAAGCCAAAGUCUUACAAUUACAACAAUGCCAGGAGUUCUAGACCGAGCUGGGCACCAUGAGAGCCCAGAAGAGGACUUUCCCAACUUAGAGCCUACACACAACACAACACAGCACAAACGUGGAUGUUGAAAUCAGUGGCAGAACUCAGUUGCAAAUCUAGAUGACCCCAACAUGUACUUGUUAGUUUUGUUAGAUUGUCCUGGACAUGAAAACAGAAAUUGUAGAAUUUAUGAUCACUCAAAUCCUCAAGAAUAUUUGCAUGGAGCCCCUUAAGAGUCCUUGGACCCUGGUUUGAGAAACGAAGAACUAAAAAUAGAAGAGUGGCCAUGAGUAGAAGAGAAAGAAGACAAAGAUUCUCCCCACAGUAUUUAUCUCCUGAUUAGGAUUGAGAGAGAGAGAAAGAGUCAGAGAUGACAUCGAAGAUUGAAGCCUCAGCCUCUGGGAGAAUGGCAGCAGGGCUCCCUGAAAUGAGAAACCCAAGGAGAAGAUCAAGUCUGAGAGUGAAAAAAAUAACUUGAAAAAAAACAUUUUCAACGAUGAGUUUUGAGUAGCAAAACUGGAAAGGAUAUUGCCAGUCUGUUGUACAUUCGUGGUGUGCUGAAUCUCAAUGCUCUUUCUUUCACAAACGUGCUUCAAUGCACAGAAGAAAGUGGAAACACUGUAAAUCUCAGAGCCGCAGAGGGAGAGCUGAAGGAGGAGAAACACAAUUUGGGGUUCAUCCCCUGGGUUGGACGUCAAAACACCAGUUGUCUCUCUGUUUCCACUUGCUGAAACAGACAUUCCCGAGAAGGUGAAGUGAAGAUGAGGAAAAUGAGGCUCGGAGUGGUCCAAGGUCACAAGCCUGUUUGUGUCAGGCAGUUCAGAUGCCACAGUAUAACGCUGCCUCCACUGCACCGUUAUUCCAGCACCAACUUUCUGAGCACUGGUGAGCUCUAACCUGAUCUUGGUUCUCAUUUCACAGAGUGCCCAUGCCUCCGACCAGCUAUAACUGUGGUGUGCCUGGACAAUUCUUGCACCCAUCCAUAGUUCAGAAAGACCUUCUGCAUCCCAAUUAACCACUUUUCACUAUAUAAGCACUAAAAAAAAACCUAUUCAAAUAGAACUUGAAUAAAUUUGUAGAAUACUCACCUUGUAACACGCUAAAAGUAAUUUCAUUUUGGUAACUUGUAAUGAGAGAUUAUCUGAAGAUAAAGGAAGGAAACAAAUGUAUCCGUUUGUGCAAAGAAAGCAAUGUCCAUACCCUCCCUUCUAAUUUCUGUAACAUUCUGCUGCAUGCCAGUUGCUUUAUUUUUAUUUCAAUGCAUAAUUCUAAAUUUCUAGUUAAUGUAACUUACCAGAAUCCCAAAGGAUAGGAACAAGAUCCCUUGGAAUUAGGAAAGAGAGCCGUGAACAUUAAAUAAAGGUAGGUAGGGCUGUGUGUGUGUGCAUGCGUGUGUGCAUCUGCGGCAACUGAGGCAGGCAGGGGACUGACAUCUUGGUUUGGGGUGCGUUUCUGGUUUCUGCCCAUGUAGCUCUGCAUAACCCACUGAGUUUGAGGAUGGGCUGUGGCUGAAAUGGCUGAUUCACGUACUGGAAAACAAAUUGCAGACAAACCUGGAACAAAGGGCAUCUCUAAUGCUGUAGGCAGAUUAUGCGCCACAGGCCAA